This 1320-nucleotide long non-coding RNA is filed under the name Oryctolagus cuniculus (rabbit). RNAcentral's name for it is "lncRNA (ENSOCUG00000029802.1)". The record is from RNAcentral. Lineage: Eukaryota; Metazoa; Chordata; Mammalia; Lagomorpha; Leporidae.
AUGCAUCACUGUGAAAGGAAAAGGCGUAGAGAUGGCUCUCGUCCCUGCCCCACUCCUACGAUAACAACCAGAGAGAAGAAUAGCAAGGAACACCAGGCCUGGAAAGCUGCCCAGAACAUAGCUCUGGGUGGCUGGUCACAGAAGAGUCGAGCAAGGAAAGAGAAAGCAGAGAAAUACCUGCGACAUGAAGAGAGGCAGACGGGGACCACGACGGGUCUUUCACGCCAUUCAGUCACUCUUUCGGAACCUCGGGAGCUUGAUGAAUGAUCACUCUUUGAUAACCACAAACAUAGGCCUCAGAUACAUUCACUUGAAUUUUUUUUCCUCUUUUUUUGUUUGCGUUUCAUGACAGAAAAGACAGAAACGGCUGCUCAGGCAGGCCAUUCUCCUUUUGAAUGUAGAUGUCAAUUUUCCUUUUAUAAGAGGGUUAUUGAUCACUUUCCAAACAAAUAUAAGUCAGGGCAAAUUGAGUCAACCUCGUUCCAGGAAUAGUUGAUAUUUUCUCCUAGGCUGUGGCUCAGAGCUGAAAAGCGUGUGGAGGUUUGAAUUUUCACAUUAUCGUAUCGGACUGCUGAGUGAAGCCUGGUGGGAUUGCUGGUGAUUUGCGACAAGCAAAGGAAUUCCUCUCACAGCGUAAAGCGCAUUAUUGAAAACCAACCUGGAUCAUGGAUAGUUUGUCAUCUUCCGCUGUUAGGAGGGCCCUUUCCCCAGAACACAUAAUUUUCCGUAGGGCCUUUAGCUUUGUUCUUUGAGAUCUUGCUCUUUGCUGUGGAGUUGCUUUUAGCGGGAUGCAUAACCCAUUUAAAACAGUUAUCUGCUUGCUAAUUGGAUGACUGGUGACAUUUUGCUUUGUGCUAUUUUCAUGUACUCUCUAAGUAUUUAUUUAACUUUAAUGAUAAGAGUAACAAAUGUAAAGUGAUUGCGAAUGGUUCUUUCUCCUCUCUUCCCCUGUCCAUGUAAGCGAGUCCUAAUUUUAUUUGCUUGUUGUGGAGCCAAUCCAGCACGAAUGAGGUAGCUUUCCCUUGCACGGCGUCCAUCUGAACCCUUGCUUCUCAGACUGGGCUGGGACAUGCAAAGCCUCAGUGUCACCUGGCAGCUUGCAAAAUGUAGAGUCUCAGGCCCCUUCCCAGACCUGCCUCAUCCGAAAUCUGUAUUUGAAUAAGAUCCCUGGUGACCCUGUGCUUGUCAAAAUUAGAAGAGUGAGGCCUUCAGCCACCUGCCUUUCUUUGUUCUUUGCAAGUACAGCAAAUGAAUACGCCCAAGCAAUGCUUAAAACUAUAGGACAAUAAAUAAGAGUCUUGGAAGACGAUACUAUUUGUG